UAUACACACCCCUCUUUAGCUGGCCCUAGGGCAAGAGAGGUUGGAAAGCAGGCUAAAGAGGAGAGCCCAACCGCCUGUGCAUGCACGUUUUUUUCCUUCAUCCUCUUGCUUGGGGGUGGAAUUUGCUUUGGGCUCAUACUUUAGUUACUGUGAAAGCUGUCAACCACAAGAUUCCGUCACAAUUCUAAGCAGGCCAUGCAGGUAGCCCUGAGCCUUGCUGGGGAGUAGCAGAAUUGUGGCUGCCCGGCAUGCCUCCCCUCGUCUCUCCACACCCCUACUCUGCUCACCUCCUUCCUCCUUCCAACCCUCUUUCCUUUCCAGCUCCAGAAGGUUUGGGAAGUCAACAACCAGGGAUUACAACUGGAAGCUACUUGUGUGACUGGACCCAACCAAGUCCCUAGAGGAAGCUGCUUAUGAAAAAACACAGCUUCUGCAGUUGGUUUAUGCCUGGGUAACAACCAACCCACAAAAAUGCAAAAGGAUGUUCCUCUGCCCCUCACUCCACCCCCAAGCUUGCUGAACAGCCAGCAGCCUCCCUCCCCACGACGAGACUCCGGAAAGGAUGACAAUCUGGUCACGGAUCCAGGGAGGGAACGAAAGCGGCUGGGCUGUCGGUGGCUCACGCUGCUGUCCGCUCUGCUCGGCUCGGGAUCCCGCAGCUUGCGGCCAGGCUGCGGCGUCCAGCACAUCGGCGGGCCGGUGCCGGGCCACGAAGCACGCGUCGUCCCCGUGGCCCGCGCCCUUCUUGAGGAGGCCCUUACGGAAGUCCGUGCCGACGCCGCAGCCCGACGUCACCAGCCCGAAGUCGCCGCCGCCACCGCCACCGGCCCUGGGUCUGCGACAGGCCGCCGAGCAUGGCGCGGGCCACCAGCCGCCCGUCCCAGAGUACCGAGGACAUCGCCGCCGCCGCCCCCUCCGAGGAGGCGAGGGGCCGAGCCGCAGCCGCACGCACCGGAGCCAGGGCGAGUCACCAGUGCCAAGUGUGAGAAACUGCCAGAGGAGCAGGACAAAGACGACCACAUGGACCGUGGAUCCUCCAACAGAGAAGGGGCUGUAGGGGAAGCUGAGUCGAGCACCCUGCGGACUUUGGUUAACAGCCACGUACGGUGUGUCAACAUUGCUUCCUUAAUUGUAGAAUAUAUCCUAGAGUGAUUCUGACCAGGGCUCCAAGACUAGGAAAAGGUACUUUACUCACCAUGAUGGCCAUCACUGGGGGAACAACUGAAAUGAACGCUAGGACAGCUAUACGCUGCAGUGGCAGCCAUCUUCCAGAGUGAGAUACGUGUGUGCGUGCUGGACGUGUCAACAUGUCCAAGAUAAGCCAGCACAAAAUGACGACCCAUGGAUUAGAACCAACUAACUGGACCAGGCAGUUGAGAAAACCACCCAGUGUCUCCUGGCUGCCACAACUGAGUACCAGGUGCAGAGUGGCUAAUA
Molecule: non-coding RNA, 1437 nt
Organism: Castor canadensis (American beaver)
Lineage: Eukaryota; Metazoa; Chordata; Mammalia; Rodentia; Castoridae
Source: RefSeq, a predicted model, not a curated record